Mesoplodon densirostris (Blainville's beaked whale) is the source of this 1924-nucleotide long non-coding RNA. RefSeq lists it as uncharacterized. The transcript is spliced from 7 exons. Lineage: Eukaryota; Metazoa; Chordata; Mammalia; Artiodactyla; Ziphiidae. The record is from RefSeq and is a predicted model, not a curated record.
UGAAAACCAACUCUAGUCACCUGAAGCAAGAGAAGGCUUUGAUUUCCAUCGUGAGGAGAGGUACAGGUGAAUGUAGGAGCUUCAGGGACGCCCUAAGAAAGGUGUAAAGAUGGACACUCCUAGGAAAACUGAAGUGUAUUCUGGCACAAGCAGGGUUCUCCUCCUGCCCCACUGUCUGGAAGAUUUCACAUUCCAGGCACCUCAUCUUCCUCACCCAACAACGAUGUUUUGUGUCUUGAUCCCAGUUGAAGAGCCUGGCACACAAACAGCCUAGGCUAUUCAUUCCUGGAGCAAUUUUACAUACACAAGACGGAAGCCAAGACUGAUGUCUUCAUCCCAGACGUACUCGUUCACACACAUUCUGGGUGAACGAGUCAUGCUCAGGGGUCAGAACAGGAAGUGGCUACUGUUGGACGAAAGAUUCUGCAGGAAAAGAUGAAAAAUGCUUCAUGUCUCUGGGAGUGGAGAAAGAGAAAAGAGGCCAGUGUCGUCUGCAGCUGUCACGGUGAAAAGUUCCAGUUCUGGAAGCUGGAAGUCCAGGAUCAAGGUGCCAGCAGAUUCGGUGUCUGUACUUGUGAAAUAAUACACUCGGGAGAAGAAAACGCACACACGCGGCUCAACAGCUCGCCCCAGCGUGACGGGACGUGGGCGCCGACAGAGAAGCGCCCCGUGACGUUCGUGUCCUGGACCGCAAAGGAGGCCGACAGGUUCUCGGGCUUGGCCUGCACUUUGGAAUGAAUGUGACCUGGAGCAGCGGGAAGAGGAAGGCCGGGUCAGGGGAUGGAGAGCAUGAGCGGGGCCCUGGGCAGCAGGUACGUCCCGUGGGGUUCGGGCGGCCGCCUCGGGAGCACGGGGUCCGACGGUCGCCCUGGCACCCUGUGCGGAGGCAGCCUCAGGCCGGCGCCUUCGUGCCACAUGCUUCCGCUCCCUUGGGCGCUAUGUUGAGAGUCCUGCUUUGGAGGUGGGAGACGGAGGAAGAAUUUUGUGAUCUGGCGGGACCUGGCCACUUAGAGAACAGGAGAGACUGCGGUGAGACGGGUGAAUAUUCAAGGUACUACACGAGUCGUCAGAAGUUACUAGAAGGCGCUCAGGGGUCUGCAUCUGGGAAUAGCUGCCCCCGUUGUAGGAGAGGCUUGGGAAGGUAAAGACGGGGCGUUCGGAAAGCGUGUGGAGGUAACGCCCACGGCAGAGGGCCAGGAUAAAAGUGAAAUCAUUGACAUAAAGUGCGCCAGAGCACAAGUGGUACACAGACCCUUGGCUUCAUUUGUAAAGGGCUGUUACGCCAGCAAAGGCCGUCUCGCCAAAGCUGUUGCAAUGAGGAAGUGAUGCGUGCCGUCAUACGUAUGUUACCUCCCAACUGGGCCGGCACGCUGCAGUUUAGAAAGGGCGAUACUUUGGGUUUGUAGGCGCUUGUGAAAUGCGGUCCGGAAAUGUGUAGAAUUGCCAGCAUCACAGCCGCAACCUUGGAAGUUCGCGUGAAACGUACCUGCGUCGCCGGGGCAGCUGACGUGCUUGUGGCUUUUGCCCUUCAGAGCGGAGCACGGCGGGGUCGUAAAGAAAACGGUUUCUGCUUUCAAGCGGCCCUUUGGCCGUGUGGGUUGGACGGUCACCUUAUAUUUGCAGGAAAAUGACAGAUCUUGAAGAAUCAUGUAAUUUUCCUAGAGAGAGAGAGAAUAUGCGAACAGUCACUCUCACGAGGGUACGAAAUUGGCAGGAGAGGAAAUCCUACCUCCACCAAGGCUGUCUUCCUAUAUAUGGGACGUGUGCAACACGGCUUUCAUAACAAGUGCAAAGGAGACAGGGGCCCUGCUUUCAUUUAUUACAGCUGUGAGAGGCUCCCAUGGGGUGGGACACAGGCUCCAGAACCCAACAGGAUGGCAGCGCUUUCACGUCAAAGCAGCCGACUUGCAGCCCUCGUGACCAG